GUUUGAUCCUGGCUCAGGACGAACGCUGGCGGUAUGCUUAACACAUGCAAGUCGAACGAGAAGGUUUUGAAUGAUCCUUCGGGUGAAAUUAGAACUGGAAAGUGGCGAACGGGUGAGUAACGCGUGGGUAACCUGCCCUAUGGAAAGGAAUAGCCUCGGGAAACUGGGAGUAAAGCCUUAUAUUAUGGUUUUGUCGCAUGGCAAGAUCAUGAAAACUCCGGUGCCAUAGGAUGGACCCGCGUCCCAUUAGCUAGUUGGUGAGAUAACAGCCCACCAAGGCGACGAUGGGUAACCGGUCUGAGAGGGCGAACGGUCACACUGGAACUGAGACACGGUCCAGACUCCUACGGGAGGCAGCAGUGGGGAAUAUUGCGCAAUGGGGGCAACCCUGACGCAGCAAUACCGCGUGAGUGAAGAAGGUUUUCGGAUCGUAAAGCUCUGUUAUUGGGGAAGAAAACAUGACGGUACCCAAUGAGGAAGUCCCGGCUAACUACGUGCCAGCAGCCGCGGUAAUACGUAGGGGACAAGCGUUGUCCGGAAUGACUGGGCGUAAAGGGCGCGUAGGCGGUCUAUUAAGUCUGAUGUGAAAGGUACCGGCUCAACCGGUGAAGUGCAUUGGAAACUGGUAGACUGAG
RNAcentral lists this ribosomal RNA (635 nucleotides) under uncultured bacterium. RNAcentral describes it as "bacterial SSU rRNA". It matches the Rfam family "Bacterial small subunit ribosomal RNA", at positions 11 to 645 of the family's 1533-position model. The record is from RNAcentral.